GACGAACGCUGGCGGCGUGCCUAAUACAUGCAAGUCGAGCGAAUCUUGAGAUGCUUGCACCUCUUGGUUAGCGGCGGACGGGUGAGUAACACGUGGGCAACCUGCCUGUAAGACUGGGAUAACUUCGGGAAACCGGAGCUAAUACCGGAUAAUCCUUUUUCUCUCAUGAGGAAAAGCUGAAAGUCGGUUUAUGCUGACACUUACAGAUGGGCCCGCGGCGCAUUAGCUAGUUGGUGAGGUAACGGCUCACCAAGGCGACGAUGCGUAGCCGACCUGAGAGGGUGAUCGGCCACACUGGGACUGAGACACGGCCCAGACUCCUACGGGAGGCAGCAGUAGGGAAUCUUCCGCAAUGGACGAAAGUCUGACGGAGCAACGCCGCGUGAGCGAUGAAGGCCUUCGGGUCGUAAAGCUCUGUUGUUAGGGAAGAACAAGUAUCGGAGUAACUGCCGGUACCUUGACGGUACCUAACCAGAAAGCCACGGCUAACGACGUGCCAGCCGCCGCGGUAA
RNAcentral lists this ribosomal RNA (512 nucleotides) under uncultured bacterium. Its description in RNAcentral is "partial 16S ribosomal RNA". It matches the Rfam family "Bacterial small subunit ribosomal RNA", at positions 28 to 523 of the family's 1533-position model. The record is from RNAcentral.